UCCGGUUUGACACCGGCAGUCUCCUAUGAGUCCCCGACAUAACUCGCUGGCAACAUAGGAUAGGGGUUGCGCUCGUUGCGGGACUUAACCCGACAUCUCACGACACGAGCUGACGACAGCCAUGCAGCACCUGUGCCAGGUUCCGGACUGGGUACCGUUGGGGGGACGUUUCCGCCCCCUACUCCCUGGCGCUUUCGCACAUGUCAAGCCUGGGAUAAGGUUCUUCGCGUAGCCUCGAAUUAAGCCACAUGCUCCACCGCUUGUGUGAGCCCCCGUCAAUUCCUUUGAGUUUCAGCCUUGCGGCCAUACUCCCCAGGCGGGGGACUGAGCACUUUCGCUUCGGCAGCGAGCCCAUGCGGCCCGCUACCUAGUCCCCAUCGUUUAGGGCCAGGACUAC
RNAcentral lists this unclassified non-coding RNA (397 nucleotides) under uncultured bacterium. RNAcentral describes it as "contains 16S-23S intergenic spacer region". The record is from RNAcentral.